CCGCGGGAUUAGAGUUUGAUCCUGGCUCAGGACGAACGCUGGCGGCGCGCUUAACACAUGCAAGUCGAGCGAGAACCGGUCCUUCGGGACUGGGGAAAGCGGCGAACGGGUGAGUAACACGUGGGUAAUCAACCCUAGGCACUGGGAUAGCCCGAGGAAACUCGGAUUAAUACCGGAUGGCCCAGCAGUCUUUCGGGACGGCUGGAAAAGGUAGCUUCGGCCUCCGGCCUGGGACGAGCCCGCGGCGGAUUAGCUUGUUGGUGGGGUAACGGCCUACCAAGGCGACGAUCCGUAGCUGGUCUGAGAGGACGAUCAGCCACACUGGGACUGAGACACGGCCCAGACUCCUACGGGAGGCAGCAGUGGGGAAUCUUGCACAAUGGGCGAAAGCCUGAUGCAGCGACGCCGCGUGAGGGAAGAAGGCUUUCGGGUUGUAAACCUCUUUCAGGAGGGACGAAGCUACUCGGGUUAAUAGCCCAGAGGGUGACGGUACCUCCAGAAGAAGCCCCGGCUAACUACGUGCCAGCAGCCGCGGUAAUACGUAGGGGGCAAGCGUUGUCCGGAUUUAUUGGGCGUAAAGAGCGUGUAGGCGGCCAGGGAGGUCCGUUGUGAAAACUCGAGGCUCAACCUCGAGACGCCGAUGGAAACCCCCUGGCUAGAGUCCGGAAGAGGAGAGUGGAAUUCCUGGUGUAGCGGUGAAAUGCGCAGAUAUCAGGAAGAACACCCGUGGCUAAGGCGGCUCUCUAGUACGGUACUGACGCUGAGACGCGAAAGCGUGGGGAGCGAACAGGAUUAGAUACCCUGGUAGUCCACG
RNAcentral lists this ribosomal RNA (814 nucleotides) under uncultured Actinomycetes bacterium. RNAcentral describes it as "bacterial SSU rRNA". It matches the Rfam family "Bacterial small subunit ribosomal RNA", at positions 1 to 799 of the family's 1533-position model. The record is from RNAcentral. Lineage: Bacteria; Bacillati; Actinomycetota; Actinomycetes.